This is a long non-coding RNA of Megachile rotundata (alfalfa leafcutting bee), 2032 nucleotides long. The record is from RefSeq and is a predicted model, not a curated record. NCBI's taxonomy places the organism in Eukaryota, Metazoa, Arthropoda, Insecta, Hymenoptera, Megachilidae.
CAGUACUAUAACAUCAACUAUUUUUUUUUUUAAUUUAUUGUUCAACGUGAAUUUAAUAUUUUUAGUUAGACAACUAUAUUUUUGAAUAGAUGUACUUUUGAUGCAUAUACUUUCAUUUUCAUUUAAUUUGCAUGAGAACUGUGACGCAUCUUGUGCGUCAAUUUUUAUUAUUUCAUUUAGUCAAUUUCAUUUUUAUUAUUUAUAAACGAUGACACACCAUGUGCGUCUUAUACUAUUAAAAUUAGUGACGCACUAUGUGUGUCUUAUGAGAUAAUUAUUUUUGUUCGGUUUGAAUCAUGUACUUUGAGUUGUAUAAUUCUAUAUUCAACAUUAGUAAUUCUACUUUUCUUACUACUUUUGGCUGCAACGACGCACCGUAUGCGUCUUGCAUUAUUUGUUCAAGGAGUGACGCACAAAGUGUGUUCUAUUGAAAUUAUUAUCAGAUGAAAUUAAAUUUGAUAACUUAAAUUUACUAUUUUGAAUUGGAUAAUAGUACUUUCAUUUUUACUAAUUAUUUAUAAACGAUGACACACCACGCGCGUCUUAUGUUGUUCAAAGAAAUUAUUGACGCACCAUGUGUAUAACUUGUAGACACAACCAUUUGCAACUUUAAUUAAAUAUUUUGAGUUGUAUGAUUCUGUUUCCAAUGUUAAUAAUCCCAUUUUUUAAAUGAAUAUUUUCGAGCAUAAACGACGCACCUAGUGCGUCCUACAUUAUGAUUUAUUCAAAAUACCCAGAGAUGUGACAAGUGUGUUUGGAACUCAUUAUUUACCUUGUACUAAAUAUUUCUGGUCGAAUAAUUCUACUGUUAAUGCUAAUGUUUCUAUUUAUAUCAAUUUAAGACGUUCCUAAUCGUCGACGCACCUGUUGUGUCCUACAUUAAUUUCUUUAACACUAGAAAGACUGAAACUUUGAUUAAUUUUGACUGCUUUGGGGCAAUAUAGGUAUAACACAUAUAUAUAUACCGGAAAUGAAGGAGGGAGGAGGUAACUACAAUUAUUAAUAAACGCAUUUAUAUGUUGUACAAAAAGUCACAAAAUUCUAAGAAGCUGUGUCAUUCUAUACACAAUUGUUUUUCUAAUUGAAAUUGAAAAGCAGUCAAAAUGACUGCCUUAGGCAAUCUAGUGUUAAUGCAAUUGCUAACAUACCAUAUGUGUCUUUGCACAAAUCAAUAUUAUCCUACAAUGCUUAAACAAGAAAAAUGAACAAUUAAACAUAAAUGAAACGAUAAAAUAACAAAAUUAUAUUGAUUUGUACUCAUAAUUGAAAACAUAGAAUUAUACAAAAAUAACAUGAGAGGAAAUUCUCUGCAAAAAUUAAUCACGUUUAGAUUCUUUUGUAACAUGAUUUAAAUUACAUUAAAUUCCUAUAGCAAUAAGAAAUAGUCCGAGUAAAAAUAACUCUAAAUAAUUCUCAUUAUACAUGUAUCUAACCUAACCUAAUUUUCUUCUCAUCGAAGUAUCCUCUAGAGGGUUGAAGGAACUCAAAAGAUUCUUUUCUAAGAAAUUAUAUACACGAUGAAUUCAAGUUGACCACGAUCACGCCACAAAGAUCGCAAUUAGUGUGCGUGCGAGAGUAAAAAGAAGCGACGAAGAAUGUUCGUAAUAUUUGAACAUGUUUAACCGAUGUUUUGGGUGUCAUAGUUUCGGCAAUGUAGUAUACGUUAUUACAUUUCGGUAAUAUAGUGACACACCAACAUGUGAAUGUAAAUAAAGAUUUGUUAUUCAAGGUGUUUAAACAGGUGUUGUUCAAUGCCGAAGCAUAGGCCUCUUUAUUCCGUAAUAUGAACGACUGCAGUUGUUGUAAGAUAGAGCUUAAGACAAGCUUAGCGAGAAAAUUAAUACAUAUAUAUUAUAUAUACAUGCAUACGAUAUAACGAUUAAGUGUUACGAUGUAAAAUGUUAAUAUAUACAGGGUGGACCAGUAAUCGUUAGUAUUUCAAUUAUUUUCGAAAUUGUAUGAGGCAGAAGAAUUAUGGAAAUAAAAGUUACUCUGUGCAAAAGGAACUGUUGUACGGUGACAAAUUUUUUUA